AACGCACAUUGCGCCCUUUGGCAUUCCGAAGGGCAUACCUGUUCGAGCGUCAUUUCAACCCUCAAGCCUGGCUUGGUGUUGGGCGUUUUGUCCCGCCGCGUGCGCGGACUCGCCUCAAAAGAAUCGGCGUCUACAUGUGGGCCUGAUGCGUAGUAAAAUUCGCAGAUCAGGCUGGCGUGCCGGCGGCCGGAACGCAUAUAUCUUUUUGUUUGACCUCGGAUCAGGUAGGGAUACCCGCUGAACUUAA
This 247-nucleotide unclassified non-coding RNA is filed under the name uncultured Ascomycota. RNAcentral describes it as "sequence contains ITS2". Lineage: Eukaryota; Fungi; Ascomycota. The record is from RNAcentral.